This 341-nucleotide unclassified non-coding RNA is filed under the name soil metagenome. RNAcentral describes it as "partial contains 5.8S ribosomal RNA, internal transcribed spacer 2, and large subunit ribosomal RNA". The stretch from base 1 to 120 matches the Rfam family "5.8S ribosomal RNA", at positions 35 to 154 of the family's 154-position model. The record is from RNAcentral.
GAUGAAGAACGUAGCGAAAUGCGAUACGUAGUGUGAAUUGCAGAAUUCAGUGAAUCAUCGAAUCUUUGAACGCACAUUGCACCUCUCGGUAUUCCAAAGGGCAUGCCUGUUCGAGCGUCAUUUGUACCCUCAAGCUUUGCUUGGUGUUGGGCGUCUUGUCUCUAGCUUUGCUGGAGACUCGCCUUAAAGUAAUUGGCAGCCGGCCUACUGGUUUCGGAGCGCAGCACAAGUCGCACUCUCUAUCAGCAAAGGUCUAGCAUCCAUUAAGCCUUUUUUUCAACUUUUGACCUCGGAUCAGGUAGGGAUACCCGCUGAGCUUAAGCAUAUCAAUAAGCGGAGGA